RNAcentral lists this transfer RNA (98 nucleotides) under Isoptericola dokdonensis DS-3. Its description in RNAcentral is "tRNA-Asp". The record is from RNAcentral. Lineage: Bacteria; Bacillati; Actinomycetota; Actinomycetes; Micrococcales; Promicromonosporaceae.
GGCCCGGGUGGACGGGGCCGCGCGUCCCAGGCUGUCGGCCCGGGUGGACGAAGGGUGUGCGCGGUCGCGCUCACGGUCGCUGCGCGACCUGCGCUUCC